AAUAGAUACCCAGGUAGUCCACGCCGUAAACGAUGAGUGCUAAGUGUUGGGGGGUUUCCGCCCCUCAGUGCUGCAGCUAACGCAUUAAGCACUCCGCCUGGGGAGUACGGUCGCAAGACUGAAACUCAAAGGAAUUGACGGGGGCCCGCACAAGCGGUGGAGCAUGUGGUUUAAUUCGAAGCAACGCGAAGAACCUUACCAGGUCUUGACAUCCCGGUGACCACUAUGGAGACAUAGUUUCCCCUUCGGGGGCAACGGUGACAGGUGGUGCAUGGUUGUCGUCAGCUCGUGUCGUGAGAUGUUGGGUUAAGUCCCGCAACGAGCGCAACCCUUAUUCUUAGUUGCCAUCAUUCAGUUGGGCACUCUAAGGAGACUGCCGGUGAUAAACCGGAGGAAGGUGGGGAUGACGUCAAAUCAUCAUGCCCCUUAUGACCUGGGCUACACACGUGCUACAAUGGACGGUACAAACGGUUGCCAACCCGCGGAGGGGAGCUAAUCCGAUAAAACCGCUCUCAGUUCGGAUUGUAGGCUGCAACUCGCCUACA
Molecule: ribosomal RNA, 545 nt
Filed under: uncultured bacterium
Lineage: Bacteria
Description: bacterial SSU rRNA
Rfam family: Bacterial small subunit ribosomal RNA
Source: RNAcentral